UCAAAACUGAACUUGAAACACAAGUAUUUAACAUGGCAACAAACCGAAAUUUCAAAACCUUCUAGAAGUUUCUGUGAUGGAAGUGUCUCCCUAGAAACCCAGUCGGUCUUGUUCUGAUUGCUACAUCAAGCUUUUAAAAAAUAUUUAUUUAAAAUUUAAUAUGUCUUAAAGACUACCUCUACGUUGUUGCCGUCUAUGGUUGCGCUGGUUUGAAACUGAUUCAGAACAGGCAACACAUGAAUUGUGAAUUUCAAGGAAACCCCUCAGGUCUUCGCUAACAUUUAAAAAUAUAAAACUCACCAUCAUAGAAACUGACACCAUACAACUGGUGUUCUCUACUUGGUAAUUAUCAAAAAUCUAUAGAAUAGAAGCCUUUAACUUAGAAUUCGUGAGCUGUGACAUGGUGCCAAGUUUCAGAUGAUCACUUCUGAUCAUUACAAGGGCUAUACAGCAUAUGGUUACCGAAAUGUGGUUCAAAUCUACCAUCUUAUGGCAAAAUAUGAAGACAUGGUGUUAACUACCAUUCUUGUUGGGUAAAUUGGAUGGCAUUUAUCACCCUCUGUUACGUGUAAUUUGGACACCUUAUUAUUUGAGGAAGGGGUCAGACCUAGUUAACAUUUCGGUGCUAAUGUGUUAAAGACUGGAUUACCCAAAGGAACUAUUGCAUCAGGCAGUUCUGUGUGUUUCAUUUUUCUGUGCCCAUUACUGAAGUAUUAGAGCAGAAAGAGGAAUUUUGGCCCGUAAACUCUCUGGUUUCCAAUUAUUUUCAAAUAUUGUGUUUUCUCUGUAUUGUGAGGACUGAAGUCAUAUGUUAUAAAUAGCAAUACGUCCUAGAAGUUUCAUCGAAGAGGAAGGAGAGUUUGUUUUGAAAAUCUCAUUUUCAUGAUACAGUAAAGACUAAGCUAACAAAUAAAAGUGAUUUUCAGUGUGAUAAAAAAGACAUGAUAAAUACCUAAACAACAGUAGACGACUCUUGUAUUAAAAAAAAUUAAAGUAUAACCUAUGGACAUUUAAACAGAAGAGUAAUCCUCACUCUUAUAAAGGCAUCCCAAAAUAUAAGAAAAUCUGUGUUUGACUAGCGGAAGAGCAGAAGGGGGUAAAGGUGUGUUGCUUUCUGGGGCCAUCAUUUUUGCUAUCUUAGCUGUCCCGAGCAUUUUUAAAAUAGCAUCCUAGGUUGAGAAAAAAAAAAAAAGAUAUAACAUGAUUGAAUAUAUACGUUCGUAAUACUAUGUUAAUAAUAGGGUCAUGCAAAGAAAAUUAUAUCCACUUAUUGAAAGCAUGAGAGAUGCUGUAACGUAUAAAAGCAUAAAGUCAUUAAAUGGGUUCACUUGUUAUAUUAAAAGUCACCGCCUUUCAGUAAAUGGAAUUCACAUUAUGAUUCAGAGAUGUGUGUUUAGAAAACAUCUCGAAGGCUUCAGAUGAGUGGCUGGCAGAGUAGGUGAGAAGCCAAUAAAACACAAAGGCCCUAUCGAUUGCCUGGUGCCCGCCUACCAGCCUCGCUUACCAUCCUGAAUCAGUUCUUGCGAUGUCUAUUAGGGACAGUGGCCGAGUCUCACCGGGCUGCGUUUCCAGAGGAAGUAACGUUACCGCGGGGUGCAUCUGUGUGGGUCUGUGUGUUACAUUUGGGUGUAAAAGUGUGGGAAACUUGCGUGGAUCGUGCCAGUGACAUUUUCCCGCAAGCCAUGCUGCGGUGGCUUUGAGGCGGUGUGCAGUAACCCGGUGAUAAUAAAGAAUGAGAUUUUGAAAGCAGCAUGCUUCCUUUUCUGGCAUCGAGGGCUGGUCUCUGGCCCCUCAUUGGCCAUUUCUGUUUUGAGUGGGUGACUAAUAGGUGCUUGUGUUGACUUGGGGAACGGUGAACUGUUUCCCCAAGGUGUGGAUUGUUUGCGCUUGGCUGCUUGAUUCGUGCCAGAAUGCCCUAGAGUUUGCAUAAAACCCAAAGAGUAAAAUAGCUGGAACUGAGGCUGGGCUGUCUUCUGAUAACCUGGAACAAGAAAAUCAGUUAAAAUGUCACAAAGGGACAAUAUCUGUUUGGAAUGGGCUCUGCUUCCUGUGCGAGAGAAUAAGCAAUCCGAAAUAUAGGAGCCCUAAUUGCACAUUUGACCCAAUUACAGUUACCCUGUAGAUUGUUGCUCUUGAGUUAUUUGCUUGUAUGUGUUUUUAUUUUGGGGGGGGGCUUUGGUCAGUGCUACAAAACAAAACAGGCUGUCAAAAGGCCCCAUUUGACUUUGUGUCAUUCUGUCUCUCCAUGGUUAUAGAAUACAACUUGAUUUUACUCUCUCGAGUCCAAGUGUCAACAUCAAAACCUGCCAGAUCUUUUUUUUUUUUUGCAAUUUGCUUCCCAUUACGAAGAGAGCAGAUGAUUCUCUAAUUUUAACAAUUAGUCUUAAUCUUCCUCACUGAAUCUUGUCCUUUAAAAGUGUCAUUACGAUUUAUUAAGUGAUCUUCAGACUAUUUACUGUUUCAUUUUCUGGUUUUGAAAAUGGGCCUGGAAACACGUCAUUGGCAUCAACACGCCACAGUGGCCAAGAAGGUCCUGGCUAUUGGCUCGUCCAAACAUUUCUGUGCCAGGUUCGCAUUCUGUCAAACAGCACAGAUCCCGACGGAUUCUCAAAAGGGCUUGGUGCUCAGCUCUAAACGAAGGGUAGAAAAAGAAACUCCCUUUUCUUUUACCAGUUGCCAGUCCAUGCAGAUUGGGAAACCUCACAGAAGUUGCCAGAGGUUGGACAUGGAAGGGUUUUUCUCUGUUCGACAAAACUGAUUUGUCUGGGUGCUGGCUCGCAGCCAGGCUCACACAACUAAUAACCUCAAGUUCAGUGCAACUGGGAAAACCUGCCCUUCCGGCUUUUAUGGCCUUGCAGACGAUGCUGGCCCCUAAAACAUAUUGGUGGAGGCUUCAGUAGUCUGAGCCGUCUUUCUUUUUCCCCUUCCCUCUUUUUGCCCCUUGCCGACUUAAAUCUCGUUCAGGGUAUACUGCACCCUUGGGAUUUUUCUUCCUUCGAUUCCGUGUCUCCAUAGAAAUGGAAUCCUCUUUUAUGAUGGAAGAAAAGACAACAGCCUUCAGGGGCGGAGAGGUUAUGCAGAACCCACAGGUGGUUGUUCAGAACCUUUCACUUAACCACAAGUUCGGAGAACGUCCCUCACCUCCAGAAAGUUGAAGUUCAGGGUCAACAGGGGUUCUCGUUGGCAAGGUGAAUUAACAGUAGCUUACAUCAGUUUUACGUCAACAGUCGAGCAAGGCAGGUAUCCCUGACAUUUUCAGUUACAAGAAAACCUAUCGUGGCUGCAGCUGAGAGGCAUUUAAGAAACUUUAGCGUCGAGAUCUGUGAGCACUUCCGUCCCUGUCAGAGUACAUAAUCAGUUGGAAAGGAAUCGAUCAAUCAGGGAAUACGGCUUUAGUUAAUUCAUUUUAGAACCAAAGAGGAAAUCUACCAGACCAUAUCAUCAACCACGUCAGAAACAGGGAGAAGAGAAUCCAGUGUACUUUUCCUUCUAACUUCCAGGAAUAUGAUUUUUAAUCUUUUGGGAACAUCGUAGAUAAUUUUGAAAAUCCCUUGGAAGCCUUCUCCCAAGGGGAAAAAAUAUACGUAUUCGCUUAUACACAGAGUUUCAUGUAUAGUUUCCAUUUCCAGUUCCAGUAUAGUUUUCAAACUUCCAGUUUGCUGAAGCUCAUUUGUGGUCACCUUCUGGGGAUCCACGGACCACCCCGCCCAAGCCAAGAAUCUGUGAAUUUGAAACUUGCCUUGGAGGGGCAGCCUAGCACAGGGCUGCUCAUAGCAGAUAACUGGAAGAUAAAUAAAUGAACAGACGAGGCUACUUUAUUUAGAGAACAGUAUGAGGAGGUUGCGUUCAGACCAGUGAAAGACCGUGGUCGAGAUGAAAGGAAGGCAGGCACCUUUCAGAGAAGAUAAACCAUCUGGAGAUUCUGAACGAAAAUCGUCUUUAUGGAGAAAGAAGUGGUCUGAAUGACUCACAAUAUUAUCAUAGGAUCCAAGUCAUUCUCCCCUCCAUCACAGAGUCCUCUAAGAUGAGCAGGAAAAAUUUAUCUGACAACCCAAGUUGUUCCCUGGAUAACAUUCCCGAUAAUAAGCUGGUAAUCAGAUCUCCUGGAGAAAAUACAAAAAAAAAAAAAAAAAAAAAAAAAAAAAAAA
This is a long non-coding RNA of Suricata suricatta (meerkat), 4148 nucleotides long. RefSeq lists it as uncharacterized. The transcript is spliced from 2 exons. Lineage: Eukaryota; Metazoa; Chordata; Mammalia; Carnivora; Herpestidae. The record is from RefSeq and is a predicted model, not a curated record.